CACUCCUACGGGAGGCAGCAGUGGGGAAUAUUGCACCAUGGGCGCAAGCCUGAUGCAGCCAUGCCGCGUGUAUGAAGAAGGCCUUCGGGUUGUAAAGUACUUUCAGCGGGGAGGAAGGCAAUACGGUUAAUAACCGUGUUGAUUGACGUUACCCGCAGAAGAAGCACCGGCUAACUCCGUGCCAGCAGCCGCGGUAAUACGGAGGGUGCAAGCGUUAAUCGGAAUUACUGGGCGUAAAGCGCACGCAGGCGGUCUGUCAAGUCGGAUGUGAAAUCCCCGGGCUCAACCUGGGAACUGCAUUCGAAACUGGCAGGCUUGAGUCUUGUAGAGGGGGGUAGAAUUCCAGGUGUAGCGGUGAAAUGCGUAGAGAUCUGGAGGAAUACCGGUGGCGAAGGCGGCCCCCUGGACAAAGACUGACGCUCAGGUGCGAAAGCGUGGGGAGCAAACAGGAUUAGAAACCCUGGUAGUCC
This 470-nucleotide ribosomal RNA is filed under the name uncultured organism. RNAcentral describes it as "partial 16S ribosomal RNA". It matches the Rfam family "Bacterial small subunit ribosomal RNA", at positions 334 to 796 of the family's 1533-position model. The record is from RNAcentral.